RNAcentral lists this ribosomal RNA (133 nucleotides) under uncultured bacterium. Its description in RNAcentral is "partial 16S ribosomal RNA". The record is from RNAcentral.
AGAUAACGUCAUCUGCGAGGCUUUCCACUCCUCACAUUAUUCCUCCCUGAGAAAAGAACUUUACAACCUUUCGGCCUUCGUCGUUCACGCGGCGUCGCUCCGUCAGACUUUCGUCCAUUGCGGAAGAUUCUUA